Molecule: ribosomal RNA, 460 nt
Filed under: uncultured bacterium
Lineage: Bacteria
Description: partial 16S ribosomal RNA
Rfam family: Bacterial small subunit ribosomal RNA
Source: RNAcentral
CCUACGGGAGGCAGCAGUGAGGAAUAUUGGUCAAUGGACGAGAGUCUGAACCAGCCAAGUAGCGUGAAGGAUGACUGCCCUAUGGGUUGUAAACUUCUUUUAUAAAGGAAUAAAACGAGGCACGUGUGCCUUUUUGUAUGUACUUUAUGAAUAAGGAUCGGCUAACUCCGUGCCAGCAGCCGCGGUAAUACGGAGGAUCCGAGCGUUAUCCGGAUUUAUUGGGUUUAAAGGGUGCGUAGAUGGGUUGUUAAGUCAGUUGUGAAAGUUUGCGGCUCAACCGUAAAAUUGCAAUUGAUACUGGCAGUCUUGAGUACAGUUGAGGUAGGCGGAAUGCGUGGUGUAGCGGUGAAAUGCAUAGAUAUCACGCAGAACCCCGAUUGCGAAGGCAGCAUACCGGUGCACAACUGACGCUCAGGCACGAAAGCGUGGGUAUCGAACAGGAUUAGAUACCCCGGUAGUC